UCUUCUGUGGUGUAGUGGUAUCAUGUUUGCCUGUCACGCAAGCGACCUGGGUUCAAUUCCCAGCAGGGGAG
Non-coding RNA from Alosa alosa (allis shad), 71 nucleotides. Lineage: Eukaryota; Metazoa; Chordata; Actinopteri; Clupeiformes; Clupeidae. The record is from the annotation of a RefSeq genome assembly.